Molecule: ribosomal RNA, 465 nt
Filed under: uncultured bacterium
Lineage: Bacteria
Description: partial 16S ribosomal RNA
Rfam family: Bacterial small subunit ribosomal RNA
Source: RNAcentral
GACGAACGCUGGCGGCGUGCUUAACACAUGCCAGUCGAACGGAAAGGCCCCUUUGGGGGUACUCGAGUGGCGAACGGGUGCGUAACACGUGAGUAACCUGCCCUUGACUUCGGGAUAACUUCAGGAAACUGGGGCUAAUACCGGAUAGGAAUCCUUGCUGCAUGGUGGGGGUUGGAAAGCUUCGGCGGCUUUGGAUGGACUCGCGGCUUAUCAGCUUGUUGGUGGGGUAGUGGCUUACCAAGGCUUUGACGGGUAGCCGGCCUGAGAGGGCGACCGGCCACAUUGGGACUGAGAUACGGCCCAGACUCCGACGGGAGGCAGCAGUGGGGAAUAUUGCACAAUGGGCGGAAGCCUGAUGCAGCAACGCCGCGUGCGGGAUGACGGCCUUCGGGUUGUAAACCGCUUUCAGCAGGGGCGAAGCUUGUGGUGACGGUACCUGCAGAAGAAGCACCGGCUAACUACGUG